This 800-nucleotide ribosomal RNA is filed under the name uncultured archaeon. RNAcentral describes it as "bacterial SSU rRNA". It matches the Rfam family "Archaeal small subunit ribosomal RNA", at positions 81 to 879 of the family's 1478-position model. The record is from RNAcentral.
CCUUACUGCUCAGUAACACGUGGAUAACCUGCCCUUGGGUCCGGCAUAACCCCGGGAAACUGGGGAUAAUUCCGGAUAACGCACAUAUGCUGGAAUGCUUUAUGCGUAAAAUGGAUUCGUCUGCCCAAGGAUGGGUCUGCGGCCUAUCAGGUAGUAGUGGGUGUAAUGUACCUACUAGCCAACAACGGGUACGGGUUGUGAGAGCAAGAGCCCGGAGAUGGAUUCUGAGACAUGAAUCCAGGCCCUACGGGGCGCAGCAGGCGCGAAAACUUUACAAUGCGGGAAACCGUGAUAAGGGGACACCGAGUGCCAGCAUCAUAUGCUGGCUGUCCGGGUGUGUAAAAUACACCCGUUAGCAAGGGCCGGGCAAGACCGGUGCCAGCCGCCGCGGUAACACCGGCGGCCCGAGUGGUGAUCGUGAUUAUUGGGUCUAAAGGGUCCGUAGCCGGUUUGGUCAGUCCUCCGGGAAAUCUGAUAGCUCAACUAUUAGGCUUUCGGGGGAUACUGCCAGACUUGGAACCGGGAGAGGUAAGAGGUACUACAGGGGUAGGAGUGAAAUCUUGUAAUCCCCGUGGGACCACCUGUGGCGAAGGCGUCUUACCAGAACGGGUUCGACGGUGAGGGACGAAAGCUGGGGGCACGAACCGGAUUAGAUACCCGGGUAGUCCCAGCCGUAAACGAUGCUCGCUAGGUGUCAGGCAUGGCGCGACCGUGUCUGGUGCCGCAGGGAAGCCGUGAAGCGAGCCGCCUGGGAAGUACGGCCGCAAGGCUGAAACUUAAAGGAAUUGGCGGGGGAGCAC